This 322-nucleotide ribosomal RNA is filed under the name uncultured eukaryote. Its description in RNAcentral is "partial 18S ribosomal RNA". It matches the Rfam family "Eukaryotic small subunit ribosomal RNA", at positions 1470 to 1796 of the family's 1831-position model. The record is from RNAcentral.
CCCUUAGAUGUUCUGGGCCGCACGCGUGCUACACUGAGUGGAUCAGCGGGUCAGGUUGCGCGAAAGCGUUUCCUAAUCUUUAAAUCCGCUCGUGAUGGGGAUUGACGGUUGCAAUUUUCUGUCAUGAACGAGGAAUACCUUGUAAGCGCGGGUCAUCAUCCCGCGCUGAAUACGGCCCUGCCCUUUGUACACACCGCCCGUCGCUCCUACCGAUUGAGUGGUCCGGUGAGGCUUUGGGAUCUGAGCGGAAAGAGCGUUUCGCUGUUUCUGCUCGGAAAACUCAGUCGAACCUUAUCAUUUAGAGGAAGGAGAAGUCGUAACA